GCUCACGUUCCUCCUGUUCAGUGACUCUCCAUCUCUGCGACUCUGAGCUUUUUAUUUUACCUCCCUGCACAUCAGAUCCCUUGAUCUACAGUGGGGCAGAUACCCACCAUGUGAAGCUGCUGUGAGACUUCCCCCUACAAUAGUGUGCAGUCCUUUGUAAAUCCCACAGCUUAUCACACAAAUGUUAAUAUUACCCCUCCCAAUCCUUUUUGCUCCUGCUAGAGGGAAAACAUACACACAUUCACACACACACACGCAUACACAUACAUAUAUAUGUACAUGCAUACACACAUGCCCAUGCCCAUAUAUACAUACACACAUAUAUACAUACAUGUACACACAUACAUACAUGCACGUGCCCAUGUACACACAUACACACAUGCAUACACAUGCACACACCUCUCACUCUUCCAUCUUUGUUUCCAACUUUCCUGCUUUCAAAUCUUAGCUCCUACUGACACUUCUGCUAGAAUGAUCACCCCCCUUAAAAUGCUGCUUAAUUUUCAUUGCUGCUUCCUCCACACAGCCUGGCCCGGGUUGCUGGCUGCACACAGAAGUGGCUGUGGAGGUGUGGACUGAGAUUUGAACUGGGCAUCAGGACCUCUGGCUGUCAGUCCUGCUUCUGCUCACUCUGUGGUCCUGGGUGAGCUGCAUAAGCAGCCAGUGCUUUAUUCACACUCAGCUCACGUGUUCACACACCCAUUCAUUCAUCCACUUGCCCACUCACUCAGUUUCUCGUGGUCUAGACAAGAGGCCUGAGAUGAGAUCAGAGCUUCUUCCAGAGCUGCUGGGCACAUGGGGGCAGGAAAGCCCCAAUACCCAUUGUUCUUCAGGGAAGACUGAACACUCUCCUUGGGAACACUGGAGCCCUGGAGCUCACUUGGUUACCCCAGAACUCCUGUCCUCUGUGGUGUGUCUCUACCCUGGGGCCAGGCACGAACAUCCCCAGAUUCCUGGAUUUGAUCAUAAUGAUCAACUUGGAAAUAUUUGGCCACCAGGGCUGCUCAGUGUGCUGGGUCUGGAGCAAUUGGAGGAUGAGAUCUUCACAUUUACUUGGAGGGUUGUAUGCCUUGCAGGUGCAGAGCCACCAUCUGGCAGCUGUGCCUUCUGGGGCAUGUGGCCUCAUCGGUGA
Molecule: long non-coding RNA, 1132 nt
Filed under: Macaca mulatta (Rhesus monkey)
Lineage: Eukaryota; Metazoa; Chordata; Mammalia; Primates; Cercopithecidae
Description: lncRNA (ENSMMUG00000065067.1)
Source: RNAcentral